This 696-nucleotide ribosomal RNA is filed under the name uncultured Methanosaeta sp. RNAcentral describes it as "bacterial SSU rRNA". It matches the Rfam family "Archaeal small subunit ribosomal RNA", at positions 1 to 705 of the family's 1478-position model. The record is from RNAcentral. Lineage: Archaea; Methanobacteriati; Methanobacteriota; Methanomicrobia; Methanotrichales; Methanotrichaceae.
UCCGUUUGAUCCCGCCGGAGUUACUGCUAUCGAGGUUCGACUAAGCCAUGCGAGUCGAAUGUAGCAAUACAUGGCGUACUGCUCAGUAACACGUGGACAACCUACCCUUAGGUCGGGGAUAAACCCGGGAAACUGGGUAUAAUACCCGAUAGUCCUCGGAUGCUGGAAUGCACCGAGGUCUAAAGCUCCGGCGCCUAAGGAUGGGUCUGCGGCCUAUCAGGUAGUAGUGGGUGUAGCGUACCUACUAGCCUACGACGGGUACGGGUUGUGAGAGCAAGAGCCCGGAGAUGGAUUCUGAGACACGAAUCCAGGCCCUACGGGGUGCAGCAGGCGCGAAAACUUUACAAUGCUGGAAACAGCGAUAAGGGGACCUCGAGUGCCAGGUUACAAAUCUGGCUGUCGUGAUGCCUAAAAAGCAUUGCAUAGCAAGGGCCGGGCAAGACCGGUGCCAGCCGCCGCGGUGACACCGGCGGCUCGAGUGGUAACCGCUAUUAUUGGGUCUAAAGGGUCUGUAGCCGGCCGGAUAAGUCUUUUGGGAAAUCUGGCAGCUUAACUGUCAGGCUUUCAGAGGAUACUGUCUGGCUCGAGGCCGGGAGAGGUGAGAGGUACUUCAGGGGUAGGGGUGAAAUCUUGUAAUCCUUGAAGGACCACCAGUGGCGAAGGCGUCUCACCAGAGCGGACCUGACGGCAAGGGAC